GUGGUUUUAUUAUAUUCAGUAUCAAUGAUUUCCAAUCAUUAGGAGUCCUUUGGGUCAUUCCACA
Molecule: transfer RNA, 64 nt
Filed under: Botrylloides giganteus
Lineage: Eukaryota; Metazoa; Chordata; Ascidiacea; Stolidobranchia; Styelidae
Description: transfer RNA-Gly(GGN)
Source: RNAcentral